UGGGGAAUAUUGCACAAUGGGCGCAAGCCUGAUGCAGCGACGCCGCGUGGAGGAUGAAGGUUUUCGGAUUGUAAACUCCUGUUAAGUGGGAAAAAAGACCUGUACCUAAUACGUACGGGGGAUGAUGGUACCACUAGAGAAAGCACCGGCAAACUUCGUGCCAGCAGCCGCGGUAAUACGAAGGGUGCGAGCGUUAUUCGGAAUCACUGGGUGUAAAGAGCGUGUAGGCGGUUUCUUAAGUCACUUGUUAAAGAGCUCAGCUUAACUGAGUAUAUGCGAGCGAAACUGAGAAUCUAGAGUACAGAAGAGAAGAGUGGAAUUCUCGGAGUAGCGGUAAAAUGCGUAGAUCUCGAGAGGAACACCAGUUGCGAAGGCGGCUCUUUGGUCUGUUACUGACGCU
This 400-nucleotide ribosomal RNA is filed under the name uncultured bacterium. RNAcentral describes it as "bacterial SSU rRNA". It matches the Rfam family "Bacterial small subunit ribosomal RNA", at positions 355 to 747 of the family's 1533-position model. The record is from RNAcentral.